Long non-coding RNA from Mesocricetus auratus (golden hamster), 494 nucleotides. RefSeq lists it as uncharacterized. The record is from RefSeq and is a predicted model, not a curated record. The transcript has 3 exons. NCBI's taxonomy places the organism in Eukaryota, Metazoa, Chordata, Mammalia, Rodentia, Cricetidae.
AAAGGCCUGUUGGAAUGAUUUGUGAAUGGCAUUUGUUUUGCUUUGUUUUUCUUAAUCUAGGAGGGAGAUACAUGAAAGCCACAUCUUACUCCUUCUAAACACUCUGUCCCACUCAGAGAGGGCAGUGAUGCCUGGCCCUGCAGUCGUUUUGAGAUUACAAGCUGUGCACUCACAGAGAAGAGCAGCACACAAGGAAGCAGGUGGGCACGAUGGACUAGCCAGAUCCCAGACGGCAUCACUGAAGCUACCAAAGCCAAGAGAAUCCCGGCCCCCUUCAUACUUCUGAACACCGCCUCACCACCCACUUCUGGCAUUCUCCAUCUGACUGGAAGAACAUGAGUGUGCAGGCUGGGGACUAUAUGUCCAGAACUCACCCGUGAAGCCACACCUAACUCAGAGAAGAGAGAGGAACAAAUGGAACUGGUACAAGCCAGGGGGUGCUGUCCUUCCAAUAUCACCUUCAAACAAUAAACUUCAGCCGGGUGUGGUGGCAC